Molecule: long non-coding RNA, 256 nt
Filed under: Homo sapiens (human)
Lineage: Eukaryota; Metazoa; Chordata; Mammalia; Primates; Hominidae
Description: HSALNT0236476
Source: RNAcentral
AGCGCUCCCGCGUGGGCGGUGUCAGAUUGGAUCCAGACGUGAGGAGAAAGGCAAGGAGCAGCUGAAUGAUUGCUGGGUUUUCAGACAAGCCGCAGAAAUACAGGCCGGAGCUUGCAGACCUGAAAGAGCCAGAUGAGAGACCUGCGAGGGGCAGAGAGGAUGAUGGGCAUCUCAGAAGAUGCUCGUGCGGAUGGACGACAUUGAACACCCAAUUGACUUCGAGCUAUAUAGGAAUGUGGCCACAACCCCAGGGAAA